CAGCACCUCAAGUGGUCAGGAUGAUUAUUGGGCCUAAAGCAUCCGUAGCCGGCUCUGUAAGUUUUCGGUUAAAUCUGUACGCUCAACGUACAGGCUGCCGGGAAUACUGCAGAGCUAGGGAGUGGGAGAGGUAGACGGUACUCGGUAGGAAGGGGUAAAAUCCUUUGAUCUAUUGAUGACCACCUGUGGCGAAGGCGGUCUACCAGAACACGUCCGACGGUGAGGGAUGAAAGCUGGGGGAGCAAACCGGAUUAGAUACCCGAAUAGUCC
RNAcentral lists this ribosomal RNA (270 nucleotides) under uncultured archaeon. RNAcentral describes it as "partial 16S ribosomal RNA". It matches the Rfam family "Archaeal small subunit ribosomal RNA", at positions 477 to 747 of the family's 1478-position model. The record is from RNAcentral.